This 73-nucleotide transfer RNA is filed under the name Coragyps atratus (black vulture). Its description in RNAcentral is "tRNA-Asn". It matches the Rfam family "tRNA". From Rfam's summary of the family: Transfer RNA (tRNA) molecules are approximately 80 nucleotides in length. Their secondary structure includes four short double-helical elements and three loops (D, anti-codon, and T loops). Lineage: Eukaryota; Metazoa; Chordata; Aves; Accipitriformes; Cathartidae. The record is from RNAcentral.
UAGGCAGAAGCUCGCUGUUUAGAGCGUCUAGCUGUUAACUAGAAUUUUGUGGGAUCGAGGCCCACCUGUCUAG